Molecule: non-coding RNA, 175 nt
Organism: Pelobates cultripes (western spadefoot toad)
Lineage: Eukaryota; Metazoa; Chordata; Amphibia; Anura; Pelobatidae
Source: the annotation of a GenBank genome assembly
UGGGGGCUUCUAACCUGAAGGGUGGACCUAAUGUCCUCCCUCCUGGCCCUCACCCCUGAGCGGUAAUUUGACUCUUAACUUUUUUUUUUUUUUUAUGAGUCAAAUUACCGCUAUGGGGUGGGGGCCAGGGGGGAGGACAUUAGGUUCCCCCCCUCAUUCUAAUUUAGGGCCCCCA